GUGGGGAAUCUUGCACAAUGGGCGAAAGCCUGAUGCAGCAACGCCGCGUGCGGGAAGAAGGCCCUAGGGUUGUAAACCGCUUUCAGUAGGGAAGAAAAUGACGGUACCUACAGAAGAAGGUGCGGCCAACUACGUGCCAGCAGCCGCGGUGACACGUAGGCACCAAGCGUUAUCCGGAUUUAUUGGGCGUAAAGAGCUCGUAGGCGGUUUGGUAAGUCGGGUGUGAAAACUCUGGGCUCAACCCAGAGACGCCACCCGAUACUGCUAUGACUAGAGUACGGUAGGGGAGCGGGGAAUUCAUGGUGUAGCGGUGAAAUGCGCAGAUAUCAUGAGGAACACCAGCGGCGAAGGCGCCGCUCUGGGCCGUAACUGACGCUGAGGAGCGAAAGCAUGGGUAGCAAACAGGAUUAGAAACCCCUGUAGUCC
This 426-nucleotide ribosomal RNA is filed under the name uncultured bacterium. RNAcentral describes it as "bacterial SSU rRNA". It matches the Rfam family "Bacterial small subunit ribosomal RNA", at positions 354 to 796 of the family's 1533-position model. The record is from RNAcentral.